GUCUGGUGUGAAAUCUCACGGCUCAACCGGGAGGCUGCACCAGAUACUGCGAAGCUCGAGGACGGGAGAGGACAUUGGAAUUCCCGGUGUAGCGGUGAAAUGCAUUGAUAUCGGGAGGAACACCAGUGGCGAAGGCGGAUCUCUGGCCCGUUGCUGACGCUGAGGUGCGAAAGCUGGGGGAGCGAAAGGGAUUAGAUACCCCUGUAGUCCCAGCCCUAAACGAUGGGCGCUAGGUGUUGGGGGAUUAACCCUCGGCGCCGUAGCUAACGCAUUAAGCGCCCCGCCUGGGGAGUACGGCCGCAAGGUUGAAACUCAAAGGAAUUGACGGGGGCCCGCACAAGCGGUGGAGCAUGUGGAUUAAUUCGAUACAAACCGAAGAACCUUACCUGAGUUCAAGAUACGAUGAAGCGCCGGAAUCGGGUGGCCGGGCAACCGAGUCGUAUCAGGUGCUGCAUGGCUGUCGUCAGCUCGUGUCGUGAGAUGUCGGGUUAAGUCCCUUAACGAGCGCAACCCCUGCCCGCAGUUGCCCUUCAUGGGAACUCUGCGGGGACCGCUCCCGCAAGGGAGAGGAAGGAGGGGAUGACGUCAAGUCAUCAUGGCCCUUACGUCCAGGGCGACACACGUGCUACAAUGGGGGGGACAACGGGUAGCAACCGGGCGACCGGAAGCCAAUCCCCAAACCCCCCCUCAGUUCAGAUUGGAGUCUGCAACUCGACUC
This 718-nucleotide ribosomal RNA is filed under the name uncultured Armatimonadota bacterium. RNAcentral describes it as "bacterial SSU rRNA". It matches the Rfam family "Bacterial small subunit ribosomal RNA", at positions 587 to 1318 of the family's 1533-position model. The record is from RNAcentral. Lineage: Bacteria; Bacillati; Armatimonadota.